UACGUAGGGGGCGAGCGUUGUCCGGAAUUAUUGGGCGUAAAGGGCGUGUAGGCGGUUCGUUAAGUCUGCUGUGAAAUCCUGGGGCUCAACCCUGGGCGUGCAGCGGAUACUGCCGGGCUAGAGGGUGGUAGAGGCGAGUGGAAUUCCUAGUGUAGCGGUGAAAUGCGCAGAUAUACGGAGGAACACCAGUAGCGAAGGCGGCUCGCUGGGCCGCACCUGACGCUGAGACUCGAAAGCGUGGGGAGCGAACAGG
Molecule: ribosomal RNA, 253 nt
Filed under: uncultured bacterium
Lineage: Bacteria
Description: partial 16S ribosomal RNA
Rfam family: Bacterial small subunit ribosomal RNA
Source: RNAcentral